Molecule: ribosomal RNA, 405 nt
Filed under: uncultured bacterium
Lineage: Bacteria
Description: partial 16S ribosomal RNA
Rfam family: Bacterial small subunit ribosomal RNA
Source: RNAcentral
AUUGAACGCUAGCGGGAUGCUUUACACAUGCAAGUCGAACGAGUGGCGGACGGGUGAGUAAUAUAUCGGAACGUGCACAGUAGCGGGGGAUAACUACUCGAAAGAGGGGCUAAUACCGCAUACUCUUGGAGCGGCCGUUAUCGGAUUAGCUAGUUGGUGGGGUAUAGGCUCACCAAGGCAACGCUCCGUAGCGGGUUUGAGAGGACGACCAGCCACACUGGGACGGGGACACGGCCCAGAUCCCUACGGGAGGCAGCAGUGGGGAAUUUUGGACAAUGGGGGAAACCCUAAUCCAGCCAUCCCGCGUGUAUGAGAAGGCCUUCGGGUUUUAAAGUACUUUUGGCAGAGAAGCGGUAUCUGCAGAAUAAGCACCGGCUAACUACGUGCCAGCAGCCGCGGUAAUAC